ACGCUCGACACCUACGGGAGGCAGCAGUGGGGAAUAUUGCACAAUGGGGGAAACCCGUGAUGCAGCGACGCCGCGUGGAGGAAGAAGGUCUUCGGAUUGUAAACUCCUGUUGUUGGGGAAAAAGAGGAUGGUACCCAACAAGGAAGUGACGGCUAACUACGUGCCAGCAGCCGUGGUAAUCUGAGCGGGCUGCAAGGC
Molecule: ribosomal RNA, 198 nt
Filed under: uncultured bacterium
Lineage: Bacteria
Description: partial 16S ribosomal RNA
Rfam family: Bacterial small subunit ribosomal RNA
Source: RNAcentral